Molecule: long non-coding RNA, 6338 nt
Organism: Mauremys reevesii (Reeves's turtle)
Lineage: Eukaryota; Metazoa; Chordata; Testudines; Geoemydidae
Exons: 12
Source: RefSeq, a predicted model, not a curated record
UGCUGGAAGCGAAGCUCCCUGCGUGGAAGAGAGGAGGAGGAGGGCGAGCCCAGCGCCGCCGUUUCAUGCUCGGGGUGGCCGCUUCCCUUGCUGGUGGCUGGGCCGUGCCUGUGGUGGGGACUGGAGGGCGGGAUCCCAGAGCUCAACAACAAGGCGCGGCCAGAGCCUCUCCUCUCACACGUGCACACAAAGGGACCCGGAGCAGCCGCCACCGCCGCCGCUUCUUCCCAUCGGACUAAUAACUCCUCUCCCCCUCCCCCUGUCAUCCUCCUCCUCCAAAACAAAAACGCGCGCAGCGCACACACAAACCGGGUCGGGGAGUCAGCAGCACCUCGCUGAGGCGUAGGGCUGGUUCCUGCAACUUCUAGCCCCGUCCCUGAUGGGGGACCUUUGGAGAGGGUGGCUGAGCCAGACACGUCCAGGUCAGAAGCGAUCGACAGCAAUUAGCCUUUCCCGUCAAACGCCUCCCUCCACCCAAAGGAGCCAGGCGCUUGGAGGAGGCGGAGGAAAGCGGAAGGUGUAUCAAUCACACCAAGACUGUAGAAGAUCAAACUGACCGAAACCAGAUACCAAGGGGAUUGUUCUCAGUGAUUGUCAAGGGAAUCCAAACAAAGAGAGAGAAUUACCCAACUUCCUUCAAGCUCUCUCAUUACUUACAAAACAAACGGCCCCACCGUGGCCUCAUAAGGAAUUCCCUCGAUUUCGUUUUCAGAGUUUAAAGAAGAGAGAAGGUAAAGUGUGAUUGUCAGACAAGCAUGAUUGCUGCCAAAACACCUUACAGCAAUAGGUGCCAUAUUGCAUUUGCUCUUCAAAUGGUGGAAUACAGCUGUGGAUACUUUAGUGGGGAUUAACAGAGUACAAACACUGAAUGACUAAAGACAUCAAACAUCAUCAUUUGGAUUUAUACAUCUAUUAAUAAACUGAUAAAACUGGUGGUAGUGGCUCUUGAAGAAAUCAGAAAAUAUGGAAGAUGUUGUUGAAAAUGGUCUGGAGAUCACUUUGACAAUGAUAUUCUACAAUUAAAAUAAGGGAAUUGGCCAUAUCUCUUUCUUUUGCCCGGCUGCUGAAGCAUUGUCACAGGACAGCAAGGAUUGAUGAAUAUUCUUCAGGUUCAAAGCAAGAAAUUUGAGAAUCUAGAGGAGCCAAACAAAGAUAAAUAGUGAGCCAAUUUUCCAAACUGGCAGUGACAUACUAGGAUUUGGAAGAAGUACGCUUGUAUGAGUCAUGUCAGUACAGUGAAAGAGGAGGAUUUAUAUUUUUGAAGUGGGAUUGUGUAUGUGAUCAAAGGAUUUACAUGCAGCUCUCUGUGCUGUAGUUCCUUCCUGCUCCAGGAGGGACACCUGGGAUUUGGAAGAAUGUUCUUUCAGUACAUUGCUGCGGAAGCAUCAAGAAAAAAAGCUGCGUAGCACCAUUGCCUUAAAAGCAAGUUUUGCAGAGGGAAAAAGCAAAACCUAAACUACAUAGAGGGGGCAGAGGGCAAAUGUUACAGACUGAGGAAAGACGUAUGCAAAACUAAGCCAAGAGUCUGAGAGAUACAAAGAGCAGAUAUUAUACUGGGGAGAAAAGAUUGUACAAAUGAUCUUAUACCAAUGACAGUAAAAAGUUUCCCUGGAUAGGAACGAGGCCCAAAAGUCAAGCCAGUCUUCCUAAGUGAGGGACCUGCUCAGAAACUGCUCACUGAAGGACAGUAGGUCUUGCCUGUCGCUCUUGCUGUUAUGGCAGGAGGUGUUGCAAUGGUGACCAAGCUAUGUCCAGGUUAUGCCUUUCUUCAGAUACUAAGGACUGCAGUUGUCUAUGAAUGCGGACUUCUGAAUUCCAACAAGAGGUGAUAGGAAUUCCUUAUGGGACUUAUGAUCUUCACUAUUUUGUAUCCUAGGAACUCCUUUAUCAUUAAACUUGAAAUAGGCAUUGGUCUGAUAUGCAUCUUGGGUGAUACUGCAACAUGCUCCUGGCAUAUUAGCAGGCUUCGAGCUGCGCUGUUUGGAAGAAGCAACGUCGUCUUCUCUCACAGCUACGACGCGGCACCGCUCUCAGCAUAUCCUGCUUUUUUCCCCCAUUUACCUGGGCGGCUUCUGCUGUUUCUGUUGCUGCUGCUGGGGCUGCUGCAGUUUCGCUGCCUGUGCUUCACCCUGGCAUGUCUGAGUCGGGAAUCACUCGUCUGCACGCUGCUAAGGAAGAGCAGCGAUGGAACUCUGGCCACAUUUUUUUUUUCUGGAAGAGAAGGGUUGCGAUGUGGGGUGGGUUUUUUUUUUUUUUUUUUUUUGAAAGGUGGGGACGUUAAUCCAAAGUGAGGUGGGAGAAAGUUUAAAGAAAUAUUACGCAAAAUAAUCCAGCACACGACAAGGGCAUCAGCAGCAAGAAGCCAGCCUCUGCUGCUCGAAAGGAUUACAUGGGAAAAGCCACAGUGGUGCAGUAGUGUUUCACCUCAGCAUUGUGCUGGAGAUGGAUGAAUAAGGUAUCUGAUAUGUCCGCCUGUAAAGGCAAAGCUAUGGGAGGAAGAGAGCGAGAGAGCAAAUGAAAAGGAAGAAGAAACACUGUAUUCUGUUUGUCUGAUUCUGUGCGUUCUUAUUCUAGAGAUGGUUGCAUAAUUUACCAAACAAUGUGUGGACGGAGGGACUGUAAAUUGUAGUCUGAACACUCCCGACGCUGUCAGGGAGGGAACUGAUGGGCUAGGUGACUGCACUGACAUCCCCAGGGAAAACGGCCGUCAUGCAGUAUAUAUUUAUAUAUGUAUGUGUAUCUCUUGUGUGUCCAUGUGUAGACAUGAAAAAAGGCAUUUCUGACCAAUUUAUACAGGAAGUUUGUCACUUUGCUAGAUCAGACUUGAUUACAGCUUAUAUUUUCAGCUACAACUCUGCACCCAUUUCCUGAAUCAGAAGGUGCUUUGUGAAAACAGACGUAUGCAGAAUUCUUUUAAGAAAUGUGAAAGCAGCUCCUUUUGAUUUAACACCUUGAAGCACUGAAUCUUCUGCACUGUGCGAGAGGAACUGUGUGGGUUUUGUUUUCUUCAUCUUAAAAUCUUUAUAAACACAGCUGUAUUCAGUAUGGUGAAAAAUUCUAUAUUGUAAAUAGAAAUGCGAUCAAUCUAAUCAAAAUAAAUGUAUCCCAGAUGACUGCUAGACCAGCUGGCUACCACAGUCUUCAGAUGGCUAAAUGCUCAACUGAGAUAGAUUCAGCAUUAUAUUUACUACUACUUUUUUUAAUUUCAAAAUCAGCCUAUAAUUAAAAAAAGAUUCUUGGUCCGGUUAAAAGAGGCAAUGCUCCACAACUGGCAGUGCAUCAUUCUGAAAUGGACACUGAUAUUUUUCAUUUCUGGACGUGCCUUUGGAAGAUUGUGUUUUAGAACAGAUGGACUUGUCAUCAUACAGACAUACUUAGUAUGGUGAAAACUAGUAGACAGCUCAGGUUGGCCAUAUCCAUGUAAUGUGCAAAAUGAAGUUAAGGGAAACAAAUGCCGCACUCAAGUAGUGGAGACUUGGUAGGAUUUUUAGCAACUACCUACUGUGAGUGUUUUGGGGUUUUUUAAAACACGAAUCCAAAACCCAUAAAGUAAUCUUAAAAUUUGUAUGAGGGGAUUUCCCAAUAGUCAUGGUGAGCUAUCCUGCAAGAUGCCUGCCUGGGCCUUCCACAAUUUGUUACCAGGUCUACAAAGGCAGCCCUGUAUGUUGGAUUAUAUUUAGCCAGCUGUUGGAUAACAUUCCUGUGUUGUGGGCGGAGGAGUCUUAUUACUUCCAAACUGUAGUUAUCUGUUUAAAGGAAAAAUAGUUUUAGAAAAUACAUUGAGCUCAGCUGAGGAGUUGCACCUCUCCUGUACCUUUCUCAAGUGCUGUGUUUCCAACCCAGCCACUUUAAAACAAAACUGGGAGGAGGAAGAGAGACUUUAACUCAGAGCUUCAAAGCUGCAGAGACAAGCAAAAUGUCAGCAGCUUGUAAUUAGCUGCUCAUGGUUACGUCAGUGACUGUAUCUCUCCAAGAAUAACUGUGAUGUGUGCCACAAAGUAAGGAAGAUAGUCAUAACCUAGUUAUCAAGCCUGGUUCAAACAAGAGCAAAUGGAUUAAUGAAUCUGCUGUGUUCAUAAAUCAAAUAUGGAUGGAUUACAUAUAUGAUUUACUGAAUUCUGUAUAAUUGAAGGGUGAAUUAGGAACUUGCCAGAGGGCAUGUUCACUAAGUAAAAGUGUGAAUCCUUUAAAAAAUGCAGAUGAACUAUCCCUGAAAAUGUCUUUAAGGGCUCCAUCUAGUACAAGCAACUGUGAGACACUGACGCAUGCUACAAAGGAAAACACCAAGAGACACACGGAGGUGCUUAAAAGAAAGGGAGUAAUAAAACACAAAGCAUGCUGAAAUUCUGUUUUGGCAUUACAGAUUUGAUACUAAAAUACCACCCCAGAGAAGACUUAUUGUGAUCUGACGUGGUUUACAUUGACUCCUCUGUUUGGGUGCAAAAAAAGAAAAAAGAUUUUGUGAGGCUCAGUGCAACAUCUUGGAGCCAAGCAGAAAACCAUCAAUACUGCAGAGUACCAGGAAUGCUUGCUUUUAAAGGGACAAGAUCAAUCCAUGCUAGGAUCCUUCUGUACUCUGCAAUUAUUUUAGGUCUAUGUUGGCAAUUCAGCAACAUUUAAACAGUGAGAUUGUGGGGGGUACUUAAUCUGCUCUGAUUGGCCUUUUUCCACAUUGUUGCUGUAAAAUAUUUACAUGGCUUUUAUCCAUACACCUUACAACAUUCAGUUUGCAUUUCUGUUUGUGUUCAUGCUGCACAAUUGCUACAAGCCUGGUUUGUUUCCAUAUUCCCAGCAGAAGUCAGUUUCAGUUCAGCUAUGUUUAUUUAGCUCCUUAAUACACCAAGAUAGAUAGAUUGUAUUUUGCAAACACAGAUUUUUUUUUCUUUUUUUUUUUUACUGCGAACACAAAUUUGUAGGAGGAGAUGACUGUACAUUAAACCAAUACCUCUUUGAAAUGCAUGUAAUAUAAUUUAAAGAUACUUAAUUUAAUUAAUAGAAGGUUACAAAAGCUGGCAUUGUCUGAGCCUGUUUAAUUUACAUCUUAGACUUAGUCAAUGAGCAUAACCUGCCUGAUCGGAAUAGUGUAUUCUGUGCGCCCAACAGGGUGGAAGACAUUAUUUUGUUUGUGUUAGUUCAAACAGCUGGUCAUUAAUGCAGGACCCAUCUCCAGAGUGAAGUGCUAGUGGACAUGAAUGGCUCCCUGAUUAAUGCUGCCCCUCGAAGGGUCCUUCAUCCAGCAGCGAUGCUUGCAGCAGAAUAAUGCAGCAUGAUUUGAUUGCGCUCUAGCAGGGUAGUAUGUCAUUGUGUCACCAGGCAAUUGAGGUUAUUAUGGAGCAGGGCAGACAGACGGGACAGUGGGGUUACUAGACCGUGGCAUUUUUAGAAAUACAGGCCUGACCUACUUAGAGUUAUUCUUGCCGGCUGGCAGCUUCAUGGUGCAUGGAGUGUCCUGAUAGGCCGAGGCUGUUGCUAGGGGGAAUUAGCAUGAAUUUUUCCACAUACAGACUCGGUGAUUGAAUGAUAAAAGCUGACUGGAAUUAAAGAGAUUCGGUUCAGUAUUAUGCAGAUUUAUCUCCCUCAUUUUUCUCUCUCAAAUGCAGAAAAAGGAGCAAAAGACAGUUUGUUUCCAUUUAUUCUUUGACCUAUUUUUUGCAGAGGAGGGCAAAAGUUAUGAAAUGUUAAUCAUUUACUGUUUUAAUGUCUAAAAUGAUGCUGCCUAGGGUAAGAUAUUUAAGUUCAUAGACUGCUUGGAACAGGUAACAGAUUAGGGUUUUUUUCCUCUCUCUCUCUCCUGUGCACUGCACUAUUUUGAGGCAUGCAUCUUUCAUGUACUGUAUAUUUGAACUCUGUCCCCUUUAGAAGAGAAUGAAACAUGUAUAUAAAUUUUGUUCUAUCCAAACAACUGGCUUGUUUAAAAGAAGCUAUAUAGGAUUCCCAGUUUGGAAAGGAAAACAUAAUCCAGCUUUUAUUGCAUAACAUUAUUCUUGACUCUUUUUAGCUAUCCUUGCUUCACAAAAUUAGUCUGUUUAUGUUCCUGGAUGAAAGUCUUCUCCCCAGUCUCUGUCUCCCAUAUGCACAGACACACCUAAGAUUUCCUAUAGAGGACAGUGUUGUGUGUAGUGUUUAUCUGGAAAACUGUUUGCAUACUGAUGACAUAUCUGUACUGCAUGUACAGUAGAUACUUAUAGCUGGCCUGUGAUCAGUUUGAUAAGAUAACCUCUUCUGGAUUUCCAAAUAGCUUUCUGUGUUCAGUUUGGAACUGGAUUUUCUCAGUAGCUCUUUUUUUAUACCCAUCCCCUUAAAUCAGUGUGGCGGUGUUUUUUUUAACAGAAUUCUAA